UGGGGAAUAUUGCACAAUGGGCGAAAGCCUGAUGCAGCAACGCCGCGUGAGUGAUGAAGGCUUUCGGGUCGUAAAACUCUGUCCUCAAGGAAGAUAAUGACGGUACUUGAGGAGGAAGCCCCGGCUAACUACGUGCCAGCAGCCGCGGUAAUACGUAGGGGGCUAGCGUUAUCCGGAUUUACUGGGCGUAAAGGGUGCGUAGGUGGUUUCUUAAGUCAGGAGUGAAAGGCUACGGCUCAACCGUAGUAAGCUCUUGAAACUGGGAAACUUGAGUGCAGGAGAGGAAAGUGGAAUUCCUAGUGUAGCGGUGAAAUGCGUAGAUAUUAGGAGGAACACCAGUAGCGAAGGCGGCUUUCUGGACUGUAACUGACACUGAGGCACGAAAGCGUGGGGAGCAAACA
This 401-nucleotide ribosomal RNA is filed under the name uncultured Eubacteriales bacterium. RNAcentral's name for it is "uncultured Clostridiales bacterium partial 16S ribosomal RNA". It matches the Rfam family "Bacterial small subunit ribosomal RNA", at positions 355 to 774 of the family's 1533-position model. The record is from RNAcentral. Lineage: Bacteria; Bacillati; Bacillota; Clostridia; Eubacteriales.